AUUGAACGCUGGCGGCAUGCCCUACACAUGCAAGUCGAACGGCAGCACGGGAGCAAUCCUGGUGGCGAGUGGCGAACGGGUGAGUAAUGUAUCGGAACGUGCCUUGUCGUGGGGGAUAACGUAGCGAAAGCUACGCUAAUACCGCAUACCAUCCAAGGAUGAAAGCGGGGGAUCGCAAGACCUCGCGCGACAAGAGUGGCCGAUAUCAGAUUAGGUUGUUGGUGGGGUAAAGGCCUACCAAGCCGACGAUCUGUAGCUGGUCUGAGAGGACGACCAGCCACACUGGGACUGAGACACGGUCCCGACUCCUACGGGGGGCAGCAGUGAGGAAUAUUGGGCAAUGGGCGGAAGCCUGACCCAGCAACGCCGCGUGGAGGAUGAAGGCCUUCGGGUCGGUAAACUCCC
This 405-nucleotide ribosomal RNA is filed under the name uncultured bacterium. Its description in RNAcentral is "bacterial SSU rRNA". It matches the Rfam family "Bacterial small subunit ribosomal RNA", at positions 29 to 434 of the family's 1533-position model. The record is from RNAcentral.